RNAcentral lists this transfer RNA (85 nucleotides) under Felis catus (domestic cat). It matches the Rfam family "tRNA". Rfam says of the family: Transfer RNA (tRNA) molecules are approximately 80 nucleotides in length. Lineage: Eukaryota; Metazoa; Chordata; Mammalia; Carnivora; Felidae. The record is from Rfam by way of RNAcentral.
GCCCAGGUAGCUCAGUCGGUUAAGCGUCUGACUUCGGCUCAGGUCAUGAUCUUGUGGUUCGUAGGUUCAAGCCCUGCAUCGGGCU